AUGGCCAGGGGUAGGAAUCCCGAGAAGAAGAACGCGGACGGGCGGAGCUGCUCCAUGGCGCUGAGGCAGGGGAGGAAGCGGCCAUCGUCCAUGGCGUCCCGAUGCUCGAGCGAGGAUGGCAUCUUGGAUCUGGGAGGAAGAGACGAUGAACCGAGGAAGUUAGGAAUGGCUAUGAGGAGGAGAUGGAGUAGAUGGAUGCACCUGAGUCGUCGGAACCACGCCGAUCAAAACCGUAGCGAUAGGAGUCGGUCACGGUUGGCGCUGGAGGACGCGCGUGACGGAUCUCGACGGGGAACACCAGCCUCCCCAAGCCCCGCCGGUAGAGAGUGCCUGCUCGAUCCAGAGGGAGGGAGUGGGGGUGGAGGCGGCGGCGGCGGCGCCUGCUCUAUCCAGAGGCAGGGAGGUGGGAAGGAGGGAUUAUUGCUGGAUCUGGCCACGAGAUGA
Molecule: ribosomal RNA, 444 nt
Filed under: Triticum aestivum (bread wheat)
Lineage: Eukaryota; Viridiplantae; Streptophyta; Magnoliopsida; Poales; Poaceae
Description: partial small subunit ribosomal RNA
Source: RNAcentral